RNAcentral lists this ribosomal RNA (497 nucleotides) under uncultured bacterium. RNAcentral's name for it is "partial 16S ribosomal RNA". It matches the Rfam family "Bacterial small subunit ribosomal RNA", at positions 28 to 507 of the family's 1533-position model. The record is from RNAcentral.
GAUGAACGCUGGCGGCGUGCCUAAUACAUGCAAGUCGAGCGAACGGACGAGAAGCUUGCUUCUCUGAUGUUAGCGGCGGACGGGUGAGUAACACGUUGAUAACCUACCUAUAAGACUGGGAUAACUUCGGGAAACCGGAGCUAAUACCGGAUAAUAUUUUGAACCGCAUGGUUCAUAAGUGAAAGACGGUCUUGCUGUCACUUAUAGAUGGAUCCGCGCUGCAUUAGCUAGUUGGUAAGGUAACGGCUUACCAAGGCAACGAUGCAUAGCCGACCUGAGAGGGUGGUCGGCCACACUGGAACUGAGACACCGUCCAGACUCCUACGGGAGGCAGCAGUAGGGAAUCUUCCGCAAUGGGCGAAAGCCUGACGGAGCAACGCCGCGUGAGUGAUGAAGGUCUUCGGAUCGUAAAACUCUGUUAUUAGGGAAGAACAUAUGUGUAAGUAACUGUGCACAUCUUGACGGUACCUAAUCAGAAAGCCACGGCUAACUACGUG